RNAcentral lists this long non-coding RNA (1226 nucleotides) under Numida meleagris (helmeted guineafowl). RNAcentral's name for it is "lncRNA (ENSNMEG00000009794.1)". The record is from RNAcentral. Lineage: Eukaryota; Metazoa; Chordata; Aves; Galliformes; Numididae.
UGUGGAAAAAUACAAUAUCUUGAUCCUUGCAAAAAUGUCUUUUUUAAUUACAUAAAAUAAUUUAAAAUGCUGCCUCACCAGAAAUCUUCAUCAGUAACAUUAGAGUGAAGUAAGAACAAAAAAAAAAGGAGGAUUGAAAAAUUGUUUUCUUAGCAAAGUGAACCUCCUUCGUUUCCUGUUGCAAUUAAAGGAUAAAUUUCAUUAUCCAGAGCAUGUUAUAUUAUAAAGGGUUAGGAGGGCAGGACAGAAGAAGAAAGGAAGGAAAAAAUAAAUGAUUAAUCUAAUAUAGUUGAUUUUACAAUUUGUAACCACUGCUACCAAGUGAAAUAUUUCAAAAUAACCUCAGGCUUAACAGCUCCCUGCAGUUCCUUUCUUUUUUGUCGCAUUUUGUAGGGAUGGUAAGAGAGGCAACAGCACCUGUCACUAGAACUCUAAACAAAUAAUGUGCCUUCCCUUUGCAUGGACCACUGGAAGAAAAUUGCUGCCUGCCACUCCUAUUACUUCUAGCUUGACAUAAAUUAUAAGCCACUUACAUAGAUGUAAAAGGAUAGAUUUUUUUCUUUGAAUGGAAACUUACCUGCUGAAUACUCUGGAGAUUUGAUUAAUGUCUCUUCCCCAUUUUGUAUGAGCGCUAGGAAACUAAAUAUGGUCAGUACUCAGGGACUGCAUCUGUAUAGUGGACAAUAAUGAGCCAUGGCUGGAAAGAAGAGUGAGACAACGAAAGGUUUCAAAUUGCUAAUGGCAUAAUUAAAAUGUGCUAUACAGAACCGGAGGCUGAGUCUGAACAGGAACUUCUCCCAUCUUCAGUCACAAUGAGGACAGAACAAGCUACAAUACAGAGAAAUUUUUAGCAUAGAACACUAAGUAUAGCACUGCAUCUGUGGUUGUGGAGUCUGUCUCCUACCCCAGGAGGAAAGUUGAGGAGUUUCUUCCUAUACUGUGCACAACUACAUAGAUGCGUCAGUUUCCAUGCAGAAGCUGGGCAUGACAGAAGAGGAGACACAGCACAGGAAAAGAGAGCUUUGAGAACCAGAUUCCUGUUUGGAAAUUUCCACUUCCUGCACGCUGAGGAAGAAUACUGAGGCAAGACGGGGCUCACGGGUCACAAGGAUGCAACCAGCGCGCUUGCUCAUUACCUCCCCAGCCUCAUUUCAUUUGGAUGCAACAGCAGGCAAAGGAGGAACAUCUCUUCUGUUCAGUAUUUCUUAAGCCUGAUUAAACACUUC